Molecule: transfer RNA, 99 nt
Organism: Tuber melanosporum (Perigord truffle)
Lineage: Eukaryota; Fungi; Ascomycota; Pezizomycetes; Pezizales; Tuberaceae
Rfam family: tRNA
About the family: Transfer RNA (tRNA) molecules are approximately 80 nucleotides in length. Their secondary structure includes four short double-helical elements and three loops (D, anti-codon, and T loops).
Source: Rfam
GGGCGCAUGGUUUAGGGGUAUAAUAUCUCAUUUGCAAUGAUUCUUCUGAGGAGUCAUAAAAAUUUGAGAUGGUCCUGGGUUCGAUUCCCAGUACGUCCA